AUAUCAAUAAGCGGAGGAAAAGAAACCAACCGGGAUUGCCUCAGUAACGGCGAGUGAAGCGGCAACAGCUCAAAUUUGAAAUCCGACCCUUUUCGGGUUCGAGUUGUAAUUUGCAGAGGGUGUUUCGGGCGCGGCGCCGGUCUAAGUUCCCUGGAACGGGGCGUCGAAGAGGGUGAGAAUCCCGUACGCGACCGGCGACCAAGCCCAUGUGAAACCCCUUCGACGAGUCGAGUUGUUUGGGAAUGCAGCUCUAAAUGGGUGGUAAGUUUCAUCUAAAGCUAAAUACCGGCCAGAGACCGAUAGCGCACAAGUAGAGUGAUCGAAAGAUGAAAAGCACUUUGGAAAGAGAGUCAAACAGUACGUGAAAUUGUUGAAAGGGAAGCGCUUGCCGCCAGACCUGCCCGCGGGCGAUCAGCCGUCGUUUUCGGCGGCGCACUCGCCCGCGAUCAGGCCAGCAUCGGUUCGGGCGGCCGGACAAAGACCUCGGGAACGUGGCUCCUCUCGGGGAGUGUUACAGCCCGGGGCGUCAUACGGCCAGCCGGGACCGAGGACCGCGCUUCGGCUAGGAUGCUGGCGUAAUGGCGGUAAGCGGCCCGUCUUGAAACACGGACCAAGGAGUCUAACAUCCAUGCGAGUGUUUGGGUGUCAAACCCACACGCGGAAUGAAAGUGAACGGAGGUGGGAGCCCGUCCGGGCGCACCAUCGACCGAUCCAGAUGUCUUCGGAUGGAUUUGAGUACGAGCAUGGCUGUUGGGACCCGAAAGAUAGUGAACUAUGCCUGAAUAGGGUGAAGCCAGAGGAAACUCUGGUGGAGGCUCGCAGCGGUUCUGACGUGCAAAUCGAUCGUCAAAUUUGGGUAUAGGGGCGAAAGACUAAUCGAACUAUCUAGUAGCUGGUUCCAGCCGAAGUUUCCCUCAGGAUAGCAGUAACGUUUUCAGUUUUAUGAGGUAAAGCGAAUGAUUAGAGGCCUUGGGGAAGCAACUUCCUUAACCUAUUCUCAAACUUUAAAUAUGUAAGAAGCCCCUGUUACUUAGUUGAACGUGGGCAUUCGAAUGUAUCGUUACUAGUGGGCCAUUUUUGGUAAGCAGAACUGGCGAUGCGGGAUGAACCGAACGCGAGGUUAAGGUGCCGGAAUGCACGCUCAUCAGACACCACAAAAGAUGUCAGUUCAUCUUGACAGCCGGACGGUGGCCAUGGAAGUCGGAAUCCGCUAAGGAGUGUGUAACAACUCACCGGCCGAAUGAACUGGCUCUGAAAAUGGAUGGCGCUCAAGCGUGCUACCCAUACCUCGCCGCCAGGGUAGAAACGAUGCCCUGGCGAGUAGGCUGGCGCGGAGGUCCGUGACGAAGCCUUGGGGGUGACCCCGGGUCGAACGGCUUCUGGUGC
This 1386-nucleotide ribosomal RNA is filed under the name Brigantiaea sorediata. Its description in RNAcentral is "eukaryotic LSU rRNA". It matches the Rfam family "Eukaryotic large subunit ribosomal RNA", at positions 40 to 1445 of the family's 3401-position model. Lineage: Eukaryota; Fungi; Ascomycota; Lecanoromycetes; Teloschistales; Brigantiaeaceae. The record is from RNAcentral.